UCGAGAGGCUUCGGCAAUGGGGGAAACCCUGACCGAGCGACGCCGCGUGGGUGAAGAAGGCCUUCGGGUCGUAAAGCCCUUUCGGACGGGACGAACGCUCCGCGGUGACAACCCGCGGAGCCUGACGGUACCGUAAGAAGAAGCACCGGCUAACUCCGUGCCAGCAGCCGCGGUAAUACGGAGGGGGCUAGCGUUACUCGGAAUUAUUGGGCGUAAAGGGCGCGUAGGCGGUCCUGUGCGUCGGAGGUGAAAUCCCCGGGCUCAACCCGGGAGCUGCCUCCGAUACGGCGGGACUGGAGUCCGGGAGAGGGGAGUGGAAUUCCCAGUGUAGCGGUGAAAUGCGUAGAUAUUGGGAGGGACACCGGUGGCGAAGGCGGCUCCCUGGACCGGUACUGACGCUGAGGCGCGAAAGCAUGGGGAGCAAACAGGAUUAGAUACCCUGGUAGUCCAUGCUGUAAACGAUGGGUGCUUGGUGUCGGGGGUAUCGACCCCUCCGGUGCCGAAGCUAACGCAUUAAGCACCCCGCCUGGGGAGUACGGUCGCAAGGCUG
RNAcentral lists this ribosomal RNA (550 nucleotides) under uncultured bacterium. RNAcentral describes it as "bacterial SSU rRNA". It matches the Rfam family "Bacterial small subunit ribosomal RNA", at positions 355 to 896 of the family's 1533-position model. The record is from RNAcentral.